GGGCCCGCACAAGCGGUGGAGCAUGUGGUUUAAUUCGAUGCAACGCGAAGAACCUUACCUACUCUUGACAUCUACAGGAUCCUGCGGAGACGCGGGAGUGCCUUCGGGAACUGUAAGACAGGUGCUGCAUGGCUGUCGUCAGCUCGUGUUGUGAAAUGUUGGUUAAGUCCCGCAACGAGCGCAACCCUUAUCCUUGUUUGCCAGCGAGUAAUGUCGGGAACUCCAGGGAGACUGCCGGUGAUAAACCGGAGGAAGGUGGGGACGACGUCAAGUCAUCAUGGCCCUUACGAGUAGGGCUACACACGUGCUACAAUGGCGCAUACAGAGGGCAGCAAACUCGCGAGAGCUAG
Molecule: ribosomal RNA, 350 nt
Filed under: uncultured bacterium
Lineage: Bacteria
Description: bacterial SSU rRNA
Rfam family: Bacterial small subunit ribosomal RNA
Source: RNAcentral